RNAcentral lists this ribosomal RNA (511 nucleotides) under uncultured Desulfobulbus sp. RNAcentral's name for it is "bacterial SSU rRNA". It matches the Rfam family "Bacterial small subunit ribosomal RNA", at positions 903 to 1382 of the family's 1533-position model. Lineage: Bacteria; Pseudomonadati; Thermodesulfobacteriota; Desulfobulbia; Desulfobulbales; Desulfobulbaceae. The record is from RNAcentral.
UUGCCACGCCCGCUCAAGAACUACGAAAGGAAUUGGACGGGGCCCGCACAAGCGGUGGAGUAUGUGGUUUAAUUCGAUGCAACGCGAAGAACCUUACCUGGUCUUGACAUCCCGGAGACCCUUAGGAAACUAGGGGGUGCCUUCCAUCUGGAAGAAUCUGGAGACAGGUGCUGCAUGGCUGUCGUCAGCUCGUGUCGUGAGAUGUUGGGUUAAGUCCCGCAACGAGCGCAACCCUUGCCUUUAGUUGCCAGCAGUUCGGCUGGGCACUCUAAAGGGACUGCCGGUGUUAAACCGGAGGAAGGUGGGGAUGACGUCAAGUCCUCAUGGCCUUUAUGACCAGGGCUACACACGUACUACAAUGGCCGAUACAAAGGGCAGCGACACUGCGAGGUGAAGCCAAUCCCGUAAAAUCGGUCUCAGUCCGGAUUGGAGUCUGCAACUCGACUCCAUGAAGUUGGAAUCGCUAGUAAUCGUGGAUCAGCAUGCCACGGUGAAUACGUUCCCGGGCCUU